Mesocricetus auratus (golden hamster) is the source of this 4199-nucleotide long non-coding RNA. RefSeq lists it as uncharacterized. Lineage: Eukaryota; Metazoa; Chordata; Mammalia; Rodentia; Cricetidae. The record is from RefSeq and is a predicted model, not a curated record. The transcript is spliced from 2 exons.
GGGUGGCGGAUUUGUGUUUCCACUUGAUUUCCUCGGUUGUUUUCCAAACGUGGUAGCAGUAUCCUGAGGGGCGGGGUGGAGGCGGAGAAGCCACCGGAAGGCGCCAUAGCCCCACUGCUGCCUGCCUGCCAUGUGACUUGGCUGACGACAGUGCUGCGUGGAAAGGCCUAGAGGCUUCCGUCCUGGGCUGCUGGACAAGUGGGUGGCGUUGACCAAGGCACUGGGCCCACAUGGACUGCGCCCCCGCGUGAUCCGUUGUCUCCAAGCAGGCUGCCCCCGCUUGGGUCGACCCUUUGAUCCUUGUUCUCUGCACAGCCUGUGUCGGGAGUCCACCUGCUGGACUGCGUAGUGAAGUGUGCGCAUGCCUGGUCCCCUUACACUGUUUCCAUCGGUGGCCUUCCCUGCACCGGGCUGGUCUCUUGACACCACCCUAAGGGCCUGAAGAGGCUUCCACGGAGAGAAGAGGGUGCCAAGCCCUGGGGCUGCCUAAGGGCCACCACCUGUGGCCUCGGGUUGCUGCUAAUGCCCAGGCCUGGCCCGAUUCCCCCUCGGCUGUGUCUCUGCAAACCCGGCCAGAAGACUCACUGAGUGACGAUGACCUCAGCUGAGUGACCCCUCUCUGCCCUCUGAGGGAUGAAUUCAUAUCCCCGCUCCCCCCACCAACCAGCCACCCCUCUCUGAAGCAGAGUCUCACUAUACAGUUCUGGCUGUCCUGCAAUUUACUUUGUAGACCAGGCUGGUCUCAAACCCAGACAGAUCCUCCUGCCUCUGCCUCCCAAGUGCUGGGAUUAAAGGCCUGUGCCAUAGUGCCCGGCUGAAUUCUCUUUUUUAAUGCACCCACAAACCUGCUCAGUGGGUGUGGCUGUGCCCAUUGGAAAGUGAAGCUUCGGGAAGCCACCGACGGGCGGCCCAGGACUUAAGCUCUGCUUUUUGGGAGCCAUUUGCAGCAAGGUGCCACGGCGAGAUGGGACUUCGGGGGUGCGUGUCCUUAGACACAGUCCACAGGAGGACUUCAUGCUAUGGGGCCGAGGCAUUGUAGGUGAGGUUUGCCCUGUACAGUUGCUGUUCAGGGGCCUGUCACCUGCCUGCCACAGUGAGCUCACCUUACACACCUACUAGGUACAAUUCCCACUCUUGGCACUUAGUAGGUAUACAUAAACACCAACAGCAAGGAUUGGAUGAUGGUGGGAUGGCUACCCAAGAAGGAGGGGCCUGUGGAAGUCAUCUCCAAAGCUUCUAUGCUCGAGACCUCCUGUAAAGCCUUACCCAUGCACAGCACAGACCACACCACCCCUGCUCCAGGCCUUGGUGGACCCCUGACAUCUUCCCUUGCUUUAGCCUUCACAGCUGGGCUCCCGACCCUCGCUUUUGACUUCUGUUCCCUCGUCUCCUUGGCUCUGUCUGCUCCUGCCCCGUUGGCACCCUGCCCAUUCCUAAGCUCAGCAACACAUUCCGUCUUGGGGCCUUGGCAUGCGUUGGUCUCUGUCUAGAGCAGUCUUCUUCUAAGCACUCUUCCUUUCAUUCAGAAUCAUCGUGAAACGUCUCACUCCUUCAGCGGUGUCCCGGCCCCCCUCCUCCUCCACCUCCUCCUCCUCCUCCACCUCCUCCUCCUCCUCCACCUUUUUCUCGACAGGACCUGGCACUUAUUCUGUAGCCCAGGCUGGGCUAGAACUUGAGAUUUCCCUACCUUAGCCUUGGAGUCCUGGGAUGGUGGGCUCCCAAUGACACGCCUGUGGCGAUUUUGUUCUCAUGUGACCUCCCUCCCGCUUUCCCUCUAGCCUGCUUCAGGGUUCACCACACAGCCUCAUGUUAGCUCGUAGGUGUGUCUGGUGUCAUAGGGGCGCUGGAUUCGCAAGGGUAAAGUCAGUCCAUUUGCCCAUGGCCGUAGCCCCAAGGCUGGAAAGGUUGAGGACCGGGGGCUCCAUCAAUGUUGGAAGAAGGGAGGGGGGAGGAAGGAAAAGGACCUUUUAGUGCCCCUGCCUUGUUAUCGAUGUGGCUUCUAGAAGCCUGGGCACCAAGACCAGUACGUAGCAGGUGGGGUAAGAGGAAAAAGCUGCGCUGGGAUUAAAGAAACUCAGAUUUGAAGAACUUUCUACAGCAGCGUGAAGAUGGAAGGUGCUUCGUCGUCGUCGAGGAGAGAUAAGUUUCCCUGCAGCAAGAAGCGGCCCGGCAGCCUUGGAACUGGGUGGCGAGGCCCUGGAACGUGAAGGCCUUCCUCAUAGCUCGUGCAGCCAGGCCGAGGCAGGUAGAAGCCCGUCUGUGGCUCGUCCCCAGGCCAGAGGCCGCUGGGAUUUGGCCAAGCGGCCAUGUUGGGAGUGUGACUCUGCAAUUGAGGGCCGGGAGGCAGGAAGUCCCACCGCUCUGGACCGUAGCCCCCUCCAGCGCUAGCCUCUCCCUACCUCCCACAGUGGCCUCGGGCCCCUGUGCCCGCGCCCAUGGGGUUAAAUCUCUCCCUGUCUCUCUCUGCUCCAAGUUGUUUUCCAAGCGAGGCAGAGAAUGGUUCUCUUGUUACCAACAUGGCUUCUGGGCAUUGGGUAAUGCGCUCCCUCUUCUCCCUGCCCCGUGUCACAAAGGGACCUUUUGUUCCUCUCCCGGCCCCUCUCUCUGGCUCUCCUCUGCCCCCCACCCACCCCAGCUCCCUCCUCCCCACGCCUCCUGCCCUACUCUGCUGCACCCCUGGGCUGCAGGAGUGACCGUGGCCUGGCCGUGGUGCCCUCCCUCUCCCAGGGCGCCCUGGGAGGAGAAGGGACCUUGGCGGCCUCGGCGGCCAUUUUGAAAACGGCUCGCCUAGGCGGUCCGCGGCCUGUGAGAGGCUGCCGGCAUUGGAGGAGCCGCUCGGGGAAAGCCUAGGGCUCGAGUUGAUGUCCUGAGGCCCACUUUCUGCCUCCAGGCGGGAAUGGGACCCUCUUCUCCCAAGCCUGCAGCCCGGGCUGCGUCUGCGCACCGGGACAGGGUAGCUUUUCAGUCAGCCAUCUCCGUUCAUCUACACAGCGGCCUCCUGAGGCGAGGAAAUUGCCCUGGGAAGUGCAGACCAGGACUCAAAGGGGAUGUGUUGGUGUCAAGGCCUCGGUGUGCAGGUGCUGCGCUUGGGGCCAAGGCACAGGCGACUCCCAGCAGACCCCUCUAGAGAGGGCAACACGCACACUCGGUCUGGCCAAAACCAAAUUCCCCGGCACUUUGCAAAAUGAAACAGGACGUGUCUGCGAUGGGGAUGCCAGGAAGCCGGCCAGACAGUGAAGUGUCUGCUCUCUGGGAAGGUUUUGUCACUGUCCCCUCCCACAGCCACUCUGUGAAUCGGGCCGGGAAGGACUGAUGAUAUCACUUUUUAAAUGAGGAAACUGAGUCACCGGGAAGCUCCACAGUCGGGUCUUCUUGGAUCUCACUGUUCUGUCUUCAGGGCUACCGCCUGCCCAUGCCCAAAGGGUCCAGAGCCUGGAGGGAGAUGGGCAGAGACAUUUAGGCGAUCACAGCCACCUGGCCACGUCUAGAAUCGCAGAAGCCGUCGUCGCUCUGAGGAGGCUGGGCUCGGCCACCAGAGCCCUGCACUUUAUCAUGCACAGGGGCUGGGAGAAUGCGUGUGCGCCCUUCUGUCUCUGCUGGGCUUGCGUCCCAGGGAGGCAGAGGCAAAGGCAACCAGGAGCUCCAGGACUUGGUGGAUGGGAGGUGAAGGACAGUGGGAGAAUGAGGAGAGACCCUGAGUUGAGCAGCUCUCCCGUAGCCCCCAAAUGAGUCUCAUGCUGCUAGUCAGGGCGCCUGCACACACUGAGGGCUCCUGCUUCCUGUCUGGAAGCUGAGGGGGAAGGCUGCCUGGAGGAGGUGACGGGUUAGAUUCUAGUGAAGGCUGAGGUAAGGAACAUGGAGGAGCUGCUGCUGUGGAGAGGCAUGAAGGAGAUGGUGGGGUGGGGGAGCGUGUGUGCUGUCCCGUGUGUGCUGUAGUGGAGUGUGGGCAGGGAAAAUGAGGGGUGGGCAGAGGCGAGUUGCCACGUGAGCCCAGAGGACUAGAGAAGACACAUGUAUCCUGAGGGCAGAGGAAAACGUAAUGAUCUAUUUUGUGUUUGCUUAUUUAGGAGACAGAGUCUGUGUAGCUCUGACUGUCCUGGAACUCUGUAUAGACCAGGCUGGCCUCCAACUCCCAGAGACCUCCUGCCUGCCUUUGCCUAAGUUCUGGCAUUAAAGGCCUGGCCCUAACUACUCACUGA